GAAAUGCGAUACGUAGUGUGAAUUGCAGAAUUCAGUGAAUCAUCGAAUCUUUGAACGCACAUUGCGCCCUUUGGUAUUCCAAAGGGCAUGCCUGUUCGAGCGUCAUCUGUACCCUCAAGCACUGCUUGGUGUUGGGUGUUUGUCUCCCAGAGACUCGCCUUAAAAGUAUUGGCAGCCGGCCUACUGGUUCUGGAGCGCAGCACAAAUUGCGCUUCCUCCAGCGAGGCCUGCGUCCAUGAAGCUUACUUUCACGUUUGACCUCGGAUCAGGUAGGGAUACCCGCUGAACUUAA
Molecule: unclassified non-coding RNA, 292 nt
Filed under: uncultured Ascomycota
Lineage: Eukaryota; Fungi; Ascomycota
Description: sequence contains ITS1
Rfam family: 5.8S ribosomal RNA (bases 1-105)
Source: RNAcentral